Molecule: ribosomal RNA, 429 nt
Filed under: Bacteroidota bacterium
Lineage: Bacteria; Pseudomonadati; Bacteroidota
Description: Bacteroidetes bacterium partial 16S ribosomal RNA
Rfam family: Bacterial small subunit ribosomal RNA
Source: RNAcentral
UAGGGAAUCUUCGGCAAUGGGGGGAACCCUGACCGAGCAACGCCGCGUGAGUGAAGAAGGUUUUCGGAUCGUAAAGCUCUGUUGUUAAGGAAGAACGAGUGUGAGAAUGGAAAGUUCAUGCUGUGACGGUACUUAACCAGAAAGGGACGGCUAACUACGUGCCAGCAGCCGCGGUAAUACGUAGGUCCCGAGCGUUGUCCGGAUUUAUUGGGCGUAAAGCGAGCGCAGGCGGUUAGAAAAGUCUGAAGUGAAAGGCAGUGGCGCAACCAUUGUAGGCUUUGGAAACUGUUUAACGUGAGUGCAGAAGGGGAGAGUGGAGUUCCAGGUGUAGCGGUGAAAUGCGUAGAUAUAAGGAGGAACACCGGUGGCGAAAGCGGCUCUCUGGUCUGUAACUGACGCUGAGGCUCGAAAGCGUGGGGAGCGAACAGG